Molecule: ribosomal RNA, 331 nt
Filed under: uncultured Pseudomonadota bacterium
Lineage: Bacteria; Pseudomonadati; Pseudomonadota
Description: bacterial SSU rRNA
Rfam family: Bacterial small subunit ribosomal RNA
Source: RNAcentral
AGUGAACGCUGGCGGCGUGCUUAACACAUGCAAGUCGAACGAGAACGGAUUAUAGCUUGCUAUAAUUGUCAGCUAAGUGGCGCACGGGUGAGUAAUAUAUAGUUAACCUGCCCUCAAGAAAGGAAUAACAGUUGGAAACGACUGCUAAUGCCCUAUAUGCCUUUAAUACAUAAGUAUGCAAGGGAAACGCUUUAGUGCUUGAGGAUGGGACUGUAUGGUAUCAGCUUGUUGGUGAGGUAAUGGCUCACCAAGGCUAUGACGCCUAACUGGUUUGAGAGGAUGAUCAGUCACACUGGAACUGAGACACGGUCCAGACUCCUACGGGAGGCAG